Long non-coding RNA from Amphiprion ocellaris (clown anemonefish), 2137 nucleotides. The record is from Ensembl. Lineage: Eukaryota; Metazoa; Chordata; Actinopteri; Pomacentridae.
CAUACUUUUAGAAAGACUCAUCGAAAAACCGCGGUCAGGUUCAGGUUAUGCUGAACACCACACAUGUCGAAGGCUCUUCAGCAAGUUUCAUCAACUGCAAAGGAUUCAGUAACGUCAGAGAACUACAGCGAUGCUUUUCAAAGUGCAGUACCGUGGAAAGAAGAAAUAUAUCAAGCUAAAUGGAGUCUCACAUCCAGCCUUUCUUCAGGAGGCUAAAGAGAAGUUCGGCAUACGCACUGAGACAGACAUAUGUGGUGGAUGACACUGGAACAGAAGUUGACGAAGAGGUCUUCAGCGAUAUCUUGGAGGAAAAAUCAGACAUCCUGUGGACUAUUUUUGAUGUUCACUCUGUAAUGGAUACUUCCGUCCUGUCCUCGUGCACAGACACCUUGUCACUAUCAUCACGCUCAUCAGACAGUGAUGCUUCUCUGAUGUCGCCAAAAAGACAACGCAUUGAUGACACCUUUCUUAUGUCCCCAAAAAGUCAGCAUAUUGAUGAUAGUUCAUCACAAGCCAGAGAGUUUGUCAAAAGAGUUCUGGAACAAAAGCCUGGAGGUGAGAAGAUACUUAAAGAAUAUGCAGUGAGAGGAGAGAUGAAAGACCGAACACGUCGUGACCUCAUCAACAUUGUUGUUGCUCAUCUGGUGGAAAAGUAUGGGCGUGCUCCACCUAUGGACAAAAGAACACAGUGCGCACUGGGGAUAGUAACAUUGUUCCCCUCUCUAAAAGAUCCCUACUCCAAAAAAGGCUAUGAACACUUUUUUGAUGCAAACAGCAAUGAGGGCUACAUUGCCUGGAAGCUUAAAAACACACAACGAGAACUCAGAAGUGGCAGUAACUGUGAAGGUAGGAGAAGGAGCUCUCACACCUCAAACAGAAGUGGGCCGGAGUUGGAGAGAGAGGUGAAUAAAGAGCAGCAGUUGGAGGGAGACCAGUGUUGUGAGGCCAUAUCGCUACUGAAGCACAGCACAGAUGAAGAACAUAUCUUCAUGAAAAUGAGAGAAACCUUCCAUCACAGACAAAAAUUGAUCCACGAUCCUGAGCAAAGCAGCACAGUGCUUACAGUGUUCCCAAGGUUCCUUGACACAAAAGGCUUGGUGUUGCAAGACUUUGACCUGUUAUUUGGAGCUGAGACUGCAUCAAAACUCCUCGAGAAAUGGGGAACACUCAAGUCCAAAGUCAUACAGCAAGCCAAAAACCUCAGCAAGACACCCCUGCUUGACUACUUCAUCCAGUCUGCUGAGGAGAACCCUGAUGAGGAUGGCGAGGUCCCAGGUUGGGAUAGUGACAUGGCUUCACUGCUACUGCUGGUCUUCCUCUUGCCACCACCACCAAGUGGAAAGAAGGGAGCUGUGAAGAUCAGUAUCCGGGAAGCUGUGGACCAUGUAGUCAGGUUUCAAAAGUCAUGUCGCAGCCUUCAGGAGCACUCUGGUACAGAGCAGCGGAGGCAGCCCUACAUCCUAGCAGUUGGGACGACAAGAAGAAGCAUCCAUGAGUACUACAUCACAUUGGAUGGUGAGCUCCUUCCCUGCAAGGCCAAGUCUUCCCUGUCAGCCUUUGAUGAACUUUUCAAAACACAUUAUGUGUUUGGCAUCUCUUAUAGUCAGGCUUUAAGCAGCAUGUACACAUUUGUGCAGACCAGCAUAUACAACAUUGAUGUAGGUCUUUCUCACGAACCUCCUAGAGUCAAGGACCUUAGAGCUAAGCUCCUCAACUGAAGAAUUCUGAUGUAUAAAUGCUUUGUUUGCAAAUCCAUUUUUGUCACCAUUCAAAAGUUGCCCAUUAGUUUCAUUACUCUGAUGGUUCUUUUGUAUGGUAAUCCACAUUAUAUUUUUGUUGUAAUAGGAUUUUUGGACUGUUGACUUUUGAAAUAUUUUUGCUUUCAUGUCCAAUAUGGGGUCAGUUUAUUUUGAAUUCAGAAAAGAAGGAUUAUCUUCAGAGCUGAAAAAAAAAAUGAAACGAAGGCACUUUAUAUCUUAUGAUGAUUCGAAUUCUUUAUGGCUGACCUGCUAAUUGCUUUAAAUGUCUGUUAUCUGCCUUGUUAACCGACUGAUAAGCAGCAAGCAGGGAUGGGUUGGUUCAUUACAUAUCAGCAUUUAAAUAACAAACAGGUUAUAUUAUUACUGUUAAAAUCACA